This 73-nucleotide transfer RNA is filed under the name Ovis aries (sheep). It matches the Rfam family "tRNA". From Rfam's summary of the family: Transfer RNA (tRNA) molecules are approximately 80 nucleotides in length. Their secondary structure includes four short double-helical elements and three loops (D, anti-codon, and T loops). Further hydrogen bonds mediate the characteristic L-shaped molecular structure. tRNAs have two regions of fundamental functional importance: the anti-codon, which is responsible for specific mRNA codon recognition, and the 3' end, to which the tRNAs corresponding amino acid is attached (by aminoacyl-tRNA synthetases). tRNAs cope with the degeneracy of the genetic code in two manners: having more than one tRNA (with a specific anti-codon) for a particular amino acid; and 'wobble' base-pairing, i.e. permitting non-standard base-pairing at the 3rd anti-codon position. The record is from Rfam by way of RNAcentral. Lineage: Eukaryota; Metazoa; Chordata; Mammalia; Artiodactyla; Bovidae.
UCCCUGGUGGUCCAGUGGUUAAGACUCUGCACUUCCAGUGCAGGGGGCGGAGGUUCAACCCCUGGUCGGGGAA